RNAcentral lists this ribosomal RNA (395 nucleotides) under uncultured Glomeromycotina. RNAcentral's name for it is "SSU rRNA". It matches the Rfam family "Eukaryotic small subunit ribosomal RNA", at positions 569 to 969 of the family's 1831-position model. Lineage: Eukaryota; Fungi; Glomeromycota. The record is from RNAcentral.
AGCAGCCGCGGUAAUUCCAGCUCCAAUAGCGUAUAUUAAAGUUGUUGCAGUUAAAAAGCUCGUAGUUGAAUUUCGGGACUAAUAUGUCGGUCGUACUUUGUACGUACUUAGCAUUAUUGGUUUCUCCCUUCUGACGAACCACGAUGUCAUUAAUUUGGUGUCGCGGGAAAUCAGGACUGUUACUUUGAAAAAUUAGAGUGUUUAAAGCAAGCUCGCGCUUGAAUACAUUAGCAUGGAAUAAUGAAAUAGGACGUUUGAUUCUAUUUUGUUGGUUUCUAGGAUCGACGUAAUGAUUAAUAGGGAUAGUUGGGGGCAUUAGUAUUCAAUUGUCAGAGGUGAAAUUCUUGGAUUUAUUGAAGACUAACUACUGCGAAAGCAUUUUGCCAAGGAUGUUU